Molecule: non-coding RNA, 101 nt
Filed under: Camelus bactrianus (Bactrian camel)
Lineage: Eukaryota; Metazoa; Chordata; Mammalia; Artiodactyla; Camelidae
Also listed under: 1 other name
Description: Eukaryotic large subunit ribosomal RNA
Rfam family: Eukaryotic large subunit ribosomal RNA
Source: Rfam by way of RNAcentral
CAAUCUUUUCCUAUCAUUGUGAAGCAGAAGUCACCAAGCAUUGGAUUGUUCACCCACUAAUAGGGAACAUGAGCUGGGAGUAGACCCUUGUGAGACAGGUC